UAAAGCUUCAAACUGGGAUUAGAUACCCCACUAUUCUUGGAUAUAAAAAAAUAUACAUUUACCAGAGUACUAUGGAUUGUUUACAUUUAAAACUCAAAGGGCUUGGCGGUGUUUUAGACUUUUUAGGGGAACCUGUCUCAUAAUCGACAAUCCACGAAAAACCUGACCUUUAUUUGCUUUCAGUUUGUAUACCGUCGUCGUCAGGUAACUUUUUAGAAAGAAGAAGUUAGCAACCGAGCUGUUUAUGUGCUUUUACGUCAGAUCAAGGUGCAGCUGAUAUAAGGGGGAGGAUGGGUUACAAUUAUAAAAAUUAUAACUACGAAAUAACAACCUUAAACAAUUGUUAUGAAGGAGGACUUAAAAGUAAAAUGAAAUAGAUAAGCAUAUUGAAUUAAGCUCUGAAACGUGCACACACCGCCCGUCACCCUCUGCAGUCAA
This 438-nucleotide ribosomal RNA is filed under the name Rapana bezoar. RNAcentral describes it as "partial 12S ribosomal RNA". The stretch from base 65 to 438 matches the Rfam family "Microsporidia small subunit ribosomal RNA", at positions 752 to 1215 of the family's 1311-position model. The record is from RNAcentral. Lineage: Eukaryota; Metazoa; Mollusca; Gastropoda; Neogastropoda; Muricidae.